Molecule: long non-coding RNA, 1618 nt
Organism: Gopherus flavomarginatus (Mexican gopher tortoise)
Lineage: Eukaryota; Metazoa; Chordata; Testudines; Testudinidae
Exons: 3
Source: RefSeq, a predicted model, not a curated record
UGCAGAUGGAAACUUUUGGGAAUCAAAUGAUAGAUCUUUCAUUUGAUGCCACUGUGGUGGUAUAGGUUGCCAUAGAGGGCAGUAUCACCUAUGGUCAGCCCACCUAGCCGUUUAAGUGUUUGGAAGGUCCAAUAGAUAGACUUAAGGGUCCUGGGAAUGAAUGGUGUAGAGAAGACAGGGUAAAUCUCCCUUCCCACCAAUCAACUGGGAAGCAAUUGUCACAUGUCAAGACAAUUGAACUUGUAUUUCCCCUUAGUGGCCCAGUGUGAGCACCCAGUGUAAGGCUUCUGGCUCCCCAGCUCUUGCCUCUCUUUGUUGGAGACCCAUGUCCCUCUCUCUUAUGAACUGGGUAUUUCCAGGCUGAACCAUUUCCUGUCUUCACUAUGUCUGUCUUAGCACCUGUGGAUACCUGCUUGCUUUCUCUUCAGAGUCAGAUAACUGGUGUAACUGCUAUAGUCAUAAAGUACCACACACAACUUCCUAUGCAAGCCUGCGUUAUUCUUCAAGUUAAAAGCACUACAAAGGAAACGUGUAAAAGAAUCAAUGAACCUCAACAUGUGCUAAUGAGCUUACCAGAGUUAACCGCAACCCUAACAUGGGCUUUGACAGGAAAUGUCCUUCAAGUCCCUACCCAGAGGAGAUUUCUUGUGGUUACCAGUUCAUCACCGCUUCGACUCAGAACAAGCACCCAGUCCUUCCAACUCUACCCGAGGCAUUAGGGCCAUCUGUGGAUCAGAGGUUCUGUCCACUUGCUGGCUCAGGAAGAAGGUCCUGAGCCAAUUUAAAACCAGACUAUUUAUCCACAAAUGCUUUCUUUGUCUCCCAGUACUUGAAGAAUCCAUUUUGAACUAAUAUAUACACACACCUCUCCAGGGUGGUAGCUUCAAAGGGGUUGAUAGAGGAGGAAGAACAGUAGCAUCCCCUUCUCCCUAUUAGAAAAAGUUCAUGCAACUCCACUACAGCACAUAUACAACUGCAGUGUAUUAACCUUAAUUUGAUAAAGUUUAACUUAAACUUUUUGAAUUGUCUCAUUUCCACAAGGGUUGUCUCGGGAUAUUGACAGUGUGUCACAGGAGCUGGGAAAAGGGGAUCAGCAUAAAGGAUGUCUCCUUCCAGCACAGCAGGCAGACACCACUGACAGGAGAAGGCUGGCCUGCUGAGCCCUCCAGAUUGGAAGGCUAAUUGGAGAGGAUAUUCAGCUGAAGGGAGCUGGCACAAGUCUUGCAGCUGACUAUUCCAUGACAAGUGGCCUGAGACACAUGCCCUAGCUCCAGGAAGAAGGCUGAGAGGGAACUCUUGCAUAAAGCAGAGAAGAAUAGACUAGCUUAAUGGAAGAUGCUUGAGAGACCUUCUAAGAGAGAUAUGAGGGGGAACUCCUGUCUGGAGGAGGGAGAAAUCGACUACUCUAAAGGAACCAUUUACAAAUUCUGCUGGAAACUUUAGGCCUGAUCCAACGCCCAUGGAAGUCCGUGGAAAAGCUCCUGUUAACUCCUGUGGACUUUGAAGCAGUUUCGUUGUGCUUUUGUAUGAAUCAUUAUUACUGACCCUGGAAAUGACGAGCCUAGUUUUUAUGGAUGGAAGCAUGAAAUGCAAGGAUGGAAUAAAGGCUGUGGAAACU